AGCCAAUAGAUACCCCGGUAGUCCACGCCCUAAACGAUGUCUACUAGUUGUUGGUGGAGUAAAAUCCAUGAGUAAACGCAGCUAAACGCGUGAAGUAGACCGCCUGGGGAGUACGGUCGCAAGAUUAAAACUCAAAGGAAUUGACGGGGGCCCGGCACAAGCGGUGGAUUAUGUGGGUUAAUUCGAUGCAACGCGAAAAACCUUACCUGGCCUUGACAUGCCACUAACGAAGCAGAGAUGCAUUAGGUGCCCGUAAGGGAAAGUGGACACAGGUGCUGCAUGGCUGUCGUCAGCUCGUGUCGUGAGAUGUUGGGUUAAGUCCCGCAACGAGCGCAACCCUUGCCAUUAAUUGCCAUCAUUUAGUUGGGCACUUUAAUGGGACUGCCGGUGACAAACCGGAGGAAGGUGGGGAUGACGUCAAGUCCUCAUGGCCCUUAUGGCCAGGGCUUCACACGUAAUACAAUGGUCGGUACAGAGAGUUGCCAACCCGCGAGGGGUAGCUAAUCUCAGAAAGCCGAUCGUAGUCCGGAUUGUUCU
Molecule: ribosomal RNA, 537 nt
Filed under: uncultured bacterium
Lineage: Bacteria
Description: bacterial SSU rRNA
Rfam family: Bacterial small subunit ribosomal RNA
Source: RNAcentral